Molecule: unclassified non-coding RNA, 803 nt
Filed under: Hevea brasiliensis (rubber tree)
Lineage: Eukaryota; Viridiplantae; Streptophyta; Magnoliopsida; Malpighiales; Euphorbiaceae
Source: RNAcentral
UAAACAUCACUAAGCACGCAAAAUGUUAAACCACAUGUCAAUGGUGGAGUGAACAUGAUUACAAGAAAUGAAGUGAGUCAGCAUUUCAUAUCACAAUAUCAUUUUAAUCAGCUACAUGAAUUCAUUUCAGGUUCCCUGAAAUCUGGAAUAAAGCUUAUAAAAAGGCUCUUCAGAUUUUCAAAUUUAUGAAGAGCUACUUCAUGUCUAAAUCCAAGUUGGUGACAACUACAUACAUACAACUCCACAAGAUAAAUAAAUGGUGCAGCUGUUCAGCACCAUGACAACCUGAAAGAACUACAUUCUGCUUGAUCCAUGUAAAUAGGUUCCAGAACUAUUCAUUAGCUUUAAAUGAUAUUUCAUCAAUAAACAUAUAGCAUUUAUUGGAUUUAUAAUUUAUAGGAUGCAUUAGAAAAAACGUAAGAGUACAGACUAGUAGGUGAAGUCAAAUAAUAGAUUAUAUAUUUCUAAUAUAUCUUCUCAUUCACAAACCUAUUUAGAUUGAAUGUUUGAACAAGUAUAGGUCUGUCACCAACUUGUAUUAAAAUUUGAUCAUAAGAAUUGGAGAUGCUUAUGAUUCAAACAUUGGAGCACUUGAUCAAAGAGAUUUCAUUACCAUAUUAGAAAACCACUCACUAAAAUCAUGAACUUGUAUUGGGGACUCAACAGCUGGUUUAUACAUCGAACAAAAUAGAUUGGAUUAUAUCAUAUACUGGAUAUGCACUGUGUCAGAUAAAAGUAGAAUUCAUAGACAAAAGCUCUCAUUUUAGAUAUUUUAAACGCCUUAUGACCAGGAGAGGGUUAAA